GGCUCCAUAGCUCAAUGGUUAGCGCAAUGUUCUUGUAAACCAGGGGGUUGUGAGUUCAGAUCACGCUGGGGCCU
Non-coding RNA from Salmo salar (Atlantic salmon), 74 nucleotides. NCBI's taxonomy places the organism in Eukaryota, Metazoa, Chordata, Actinopteri, Salmoniformes, Salmonidae. The record is from Rfam.